RNAcentral lists this long non-coding RNA (233 nucleotides) under Panax ginseng (ginseng). RNAcentral describes it as "long non-coding RNA (PGIN_LNC000183)". The record is from RNAcentral. Lineage: Eukaryota; Viridiplantae; Streptophyta; Magnoliopsida; Apiales; Araliaceae.
UAUACUGAAAUUUUAGUAAACAACUAGCGCACCUGCUUUAACAAAAUAACCAAAUGAGGUAUAUAAUAAUGGUAGUGGAAUUUAUGGUCCCAUAGAGAAAAUUAAACCAACUUGUACACGUUUUAACAAAAUUGGUUCAAUAAUAGAGUUGUGGUCCAUACUACUUUAGAAAAAGUAAAGUGUCGGCAAGUCCUGCCAAACUUACUUUGUAGAAAAAAAAUAAUUGAACAAAC